Molecule: long non-coding RNA, 1112 nt
Filed under: Homo sapiens (human)
Lineage: Eukaryota; Metazoa; Chordata; Mammalia; Primates; Hominidae
Description: non-protein coding lnc-GATM-1:3
Source: RNAcentral
GCGCUAGGGCAGACUGCGUUGCUAGCAGCUGAGUGAAGGCCGAAAGGGCCAAUGGAAACGUUAGACGACGCUCGGGCCUCUGGGUAGAGCGUUGGUGUCCGCUUUCGUGAAAUCGAGUUGCCUAACCCAGAGCUUUCCCGAGAUGGUCUUCGUUACAGGUGUCUGGGAGGCGGCUUAAGCUCACUUCACUAGGUCAUUAAGCAUGUACUUUGGUGGUUACAUAUAUCUUGGAAGUCACCGGCUUUACAUUCUGUUUUCCUGGCCUUCGAACUGGAGCAUCAGUACUACCGCCGUUGGAAUAGCAACCUAGAGACUUUGCUAUUUUGUGAAGAAACUCUAACUAUCCGCAUGGGCACAGAAUUUUGGGUGCUCUGGUGCAAAUGUCUCAGGUGACUUGGCGUAACUGAGAAUACAGCCUUGGGACCUUCGUUCUGGAGGCUGGGAAGUCAAAGACAAGGCACUGGCAGAUUCCAUGACUGGAAAGGAGAGAAGGUCUCUGAGGAAGUGACAUUCCAGCUGAGACGUGAAGGAUAAGUAGAAACCAAGCAGAAGAAUUGGAAGAGGAAAGGGAAGAGGGAAAAGCCUGUGCCAAUGCCCUGAGAUUGGAAUAUGCUUUUUGUGUUUAAGAAAUUAACAGAAGGAGAAGCACAUCUCUGGCUGCCCUCAGUACACUAAGAGAAUCAGACCUCAGAGGUGGCUGCAUUUUAUUGUUGGGAAUAAGAAGACUGCAAUUCAGGAAGACAUAUAGUAGUCUAUAAGUGAUUCAGGACUGGAACUCAGUUAUCCUAAUUCCCUCUCGGAGGCUCUUUCCACCAUGCCAUCUGCUCGUCUGGUGCUUUCCAUCCAUGAACUCUGGAAAACAAGCUUGAGAUACCAAAAUUGAAAAGACAGCUCAUCAAAAAUGAAUAGUUAUAAUUCUAUAAGUACAAAAAUGAAAUACUCAAAUCUCUUGCCCCCCCUCCUGCUAGGAGCAUAAAUGUUAACCUGAGUUCUCUAGCUCUGUACAAAUCCACAGCAAUUAAGACUGCACUGUGAGGGAAAAUACUUUUCUAAAAAAGAAUCCUGAUCAAGUUGAAACAAAAAUUUUAAAACAUGAAAUGGAAGGAACGAAA